This 258-nucleotide ribosomal RNA is filed under the name Eutreptiella gymnastica. RNAcentral's name for it is "partial Eukaryotic small subunit ribosomal RNA". It matches the Rfam family "Eukaryotic small subunit ribosomal RNA", at positions 804 to 1061 of the family's 1831-position model. The record is from RNAcentral. Lineage: Eukaryota; Euglenozoa; Euglenophyceae; Eutreptiales; Eutreptiaceae.
UUAGCAUGGGAUAAUGAAAUAGGACUUUGGUGCUAUUUUGUUGGUUUCGAACACCGAAGUAAUGAUUAACAGGGACAGUCAGGGGCACUCGUAUUCCGCAGAGAGAGGUGAAAUUCUCAGACCCGCGGAAGACGAACCACUGCGAAAGCAUUUGCCAGGGAUGUUUUCACUGAUCAAGAACGAAAGUUAGGGGAUCGAAGACGAUCAGAUACCGUCGUAGUCUUAACCAUAAACCAUGCCGACUAGGGAUCGGCGGAG